GGGAUAGUUAGGACCUUGUUCCCGCAAGGGCGGCCCAUAACAACAUCCCCGAGCCCAGAGCACAGCCUGGACGACAUCCGCGAGGUCACGGAGGAAGAGGUGCUGCGGGCAGGCAGAGACCUGAACCCCAAGAAGGCACCGGGGCCGGACGCGAUUCCCAACCGAGCGACGAAGCUGGCACUAGCGCUGAUCCCAAGCGGGGUCAUGGGUCUGUUCAACAGAUGCCUACACGAGGGUACGUUCCCAUCGAGGUGGAAGAGGCAACGGCUCCUUUUGCUGUCCAAGCCGGGCAAGCCGCCGGGUGAGGCAUCCUCGUACAGGCCCAUCUGCCUCCUGGACACGAUAGGGAAGGUCUUCGAGAAGGUGAUCGCCACGAGGCUGAGCGCAGCCAUCGAAGCAGCAGGCGGCCUAUCCCCGGAGCAAUACGGGUUCAGGAAGGGGAAGUCGACGCUGGACGCCAUCUCCAAGGUGAUCAAAACGGCAGAGGAAGCAUGCGCUGGUUCCAGAUGGAGAGGAGGAUCCAAAUCCUACUGUCUCGUGGUGACACUUGACAUAAGGAACGCCUUUAACUCAGCAGAUUGGAGCCGCACGCUAGAGGCCCUACAGCGGUUCAACAUCCCUGGUUACCUACAGAGGAUAGCGCGUAGUGCUUCAGCGACAGGGUGCUGACGUACGAGACCAGUAUGGGUUCCAGGGCAUACAAAGUCUCAGCCGGAGUCCCUCAAGGCUCCGUUUUGGGACCCCUGCUCUGGAACGCCAUGUACGACGGAGUCCUGAGACCCCCGAUGCCAGCCAACACCAGCAUGGUGGGGUUUGCGGAUGACGUCGCCAUAGUAGUGGGGGCCAAGCACCUCGCCGCAGUGGAGGAGCUCGCCAACGCGGCCGUCCGAGCCGUGGAGUCGUGGCUUACGGUCGCCGGAUUGGACCUGGCAGCGCAGAAGACCGAGGCGGUGCUCAUAUCGAUCCGGAAAGCUGUAGAGACUGCAAGUGUGCAGGUCGGUGGUACCACGAUACGCUCGCAGAGGGCAAUCAAGUACCUCGGGGUGCUCAUCGACACUCGCCUCUCCUUCAAGGAGCACUUGGAGUACGUGCAGAGGAAGGCCAGCGGAACCGCAGGAGCGCUCUCACGGAUGCUCCUCAACACCAGAGGUCCGAAGCAGGCAACGCGGAAGCUCCUGACGAGUGUUGUGAGGUAAACCUGAGCCGCUCAGGUAAAGACCUACAUGCGAGGCGUUGAGGCGACGUACAGGCUGUGUGCCCUACGAAUAGCGUGCUCGUUCCGGACUGUGUCGGACGAAGCUGCGCUGGUCAUUGCGGGGCAAGUCCCACUCAGGGAGCUGAUAAGGGAGAGAGCGGAGAUCCAUACAGCCGUGCAGGGCGAAAGCGAUGCGACAAGAGCAGAGCUGAAGGCUGCAGCGAGGAGGAACAGCAUCAGCAGAUGGCAGAACCAGUGGGACAGGUCAACUAAGGGGCGCUGGACUUACACCCUCAUACCGAAGCUGCAAGCCUGGAUGGAGAGGAAGCACGGCCGGGUAGAUUUUUACCUCACCCAAGCGCUUAGUGGUCAUGGCUGCUUUCGCAGCUACCUCCAGCGCUUUGGCCACGAGACGGAGGACGGGUGCCCAGAGUGCGGCACCGGUAUAGUGGAGGAUGCACAGCACGUCUUCUUCGAAUGCCACCGGUUUGACCACGAGCGACACCGCAUGGAGACAGCAGUAGGCGCCAGGAUCUCCUCCGAGACCUUGGUGCCGAUCAUGGCCGAGCCAAGGACAUGGGAAGCGGCCGCAGAGUUCGCCUCGAGCGUUAUGCGAACGCUGAGAGCGUUGGAGAGGAGUCGUAAACAGGAGACGGAGUAGGAGCCUUCGAGCGUGCGAAGCAAUGCUUUGCGGCAGUACCGCGCGCGACGGGCGCCCACUCCCACUAGCAAAUACGGCCCUCAUUAUGAGUAUACCCACUAGUGUAAGAAGUAUUAUUAUUAUUAUUUUUAAAGUAUUAUUAAAGCUAGAUAAUUAAUUAGAAGGAAUAAACAAAUGAAUACAAAAAAAAAAAAACACAUCACACUCAUCACACACACAGCACUCCCACAAAAAAAACCCGCACGUAUUCACAUAGAGAUAGUCACCCAUAUUAACCCUAUUAUUAAAAUGAUACACAGAAAAUAAGCCCCAUCGCCCAUACAUCAUACCCACUCAUACCCACUACAACCUUAUUCGCACUUGGUAUAUUCAUUCCCGGAACACUUAAUCAAUNCCUGUAAUUUUGUUUGAUUUGGACUUGAUAGUUCAAAACCCAAGUCGUCACAAAAAAAUAAAAUAAAAUAAAAUAAAAUACAAAAAAAGAACAACAACCAAAAAUAUGUUAGAAUAGGUUUUCGUAUAGGUCCGUUUAAUUAAUCCAUGUAAGCGGAGUCUAUUUUUCCCCCCGAAUACCACCCCCUUUUCCAAACUUAUACAUAUCAUGCAAUAACUACUAACAAGAGCUCUUUUUAGUUUAAGUUAAUCAUUUAAAUUUGCAUACCACUUUCAGCUUUGUUUACAUAAAAUUUGGGGAUGCCACCUCGGGCAAAAGAAAAAUAGAGUCUGUAUAUUUUUUGAAUGUUAGUAUUUUUUAUGUUAGUAAUUAUUUAUGCAAGGUGAAUGUCAGUCAAGGGAUACAAAUGUUUUAGGAAUUAAGUAGUUAUAAAAUUAAAAAUAAAAAAAUGUUGAAGAAUGUUUGAAAACCUGAAAAGAAAAUGAAAAUGGAGUAGAGCUUACUAGAUUG
This 2760-nucleotide long non-coding RNA is filed under the name Drosophila guanche. The record is from RNAcentral. Lineage: Eukaryota; Metazoa; Arthropoda; Insecta; Diptera; Drosophilidae.